This is a long non-coding RNA of Bos taurus (domestic cattle), 959 nucleotides long. The record is from Ensembl. NCBI's taxonomy places the organism in Eukaryota, Metazoa, Chordata, Mammalia, Artiodactyla, Bovidae.
GCCAGAGUCAGACAGGAAUUUGAAGAUGCUACACUGGUGCUUUUGAAGAUAGAGGAAGGGACCACAAGUCAAGGAACUCAGGCAGCCUCAAGGACAGAACCGACACUCUUAACCCAUCAUAUAUUAGUCUCUAAUGCAUAAUGGGUACAUGACCCAUUGUGCUAACAUUCUUUAUCAGGAGUUAUAUUACUGAACUCAGGUUCAGCUCAUCGCUGCUCAAAAGCCAAUAAUUAAGAGGCAAGUGUCAGUAGAAAGGAAAGAUGCUUUAGUCAGAAAGGCCAGCAGUCUGGGGAGAAGGUGGACUUAUGUCUGGAGAUCAUCUCUGCAGAUUCUGUCCAGUUAUUACCAUUUUUAAAGGGAAGGUGGCGGAAGAGAAUCUCAGCGAAUCAUCCAGGUUACGAAUGAGCAAGCCAGCAGGCUUGAGAAAUUCUGAAGACGUUUCACAUAGGAUCCGUCAAUUGCUCAGAGGAAUGAUAAGCCAGGUUCAAUCGUGGGGCUGCAGAGAGUGGAGACUGGGUUUCCAUUCUGCGGUCGACAAAUGCUCCAGUGUGCAAGCUUUUCUUCAGUUCCCGCACCUGCAGAGACGUGGCCCAAGUGACCUAGUAUUUCAGAGGGAGAAGGAGAAUGUGGCAGAGAGAGAAAACUGCUCUUCAAAAGGAAGCCGUCGUUAAGCUAAGAUGCACAAAGAGCAAUUGUGAAUUUGUGUUUAGGGACCUAGAAUUCUCACCACUACCCUGAUGGAAUAUAAAGCUCCUGUAGGCGUUACUUUCCUCAUUUCUGAAAUGGGGAUAUGUGCAGUGCCUGCCUCUUCAGAUGGUAUUGCGGGAAUUCAACAUGAAAAGGCACCUGAAAGCUUUGGCAUGGCUGCUGGCAUAUACUGUUCAACGUCAUCAUCAUUACUAAAGUGGGCUCGGAAACUUCUCGUCAUGCCCUGAAGCAAACUGUCUGCUAUAUAAACC